Molecule: unclassified non-coding RNA, 185 nt
Filed under: uncultured fungus
Lineage: Eukaryota; Fungi
Description: sequence contains ITS1
Source: RNAcentral
UGAAACGUGAGAUUCGGUGUGAAUUGCAAAUCAAUUGGAUCACUAGUUUUUCGAAUGCGUACAAGCCGUAGUGCAUUUUCGUGACUGUCAGAUAACUCAAACCAAAAAUUUUUUCAUUCUAUAUGAUAGAAAAUUCUAAUUUUGAUUUCUGACGUCAUGGAAGUGUGAGUACCCGCUGGACUUAA